This 440-nucleotide unclassified non-coding RNA is filed under the name Hevea brasiliensis (rubber tree). The record is from RNAcentral. Lineage: Eukaryota; Viridiplantae; Streptophyta; Magnoliopsida; Malpighiales; Euphorbiaceae.
UUCUCACUUCUAGUUCCUGACACAUUGAAACAAGUGAGAGCAUUUUUAAAAGAUUACACCAAGAUCACCACAUCAAUGUAUAUUUGCCCAAGUAGAACAGGCUGGUUUGUGGAUGCUGAAUUGUGCAACACAUUAUCAUAUGAUACAAUAGCCCUGUUUGGCAACAGCUUAGAGUUUAGUAUUUUGAACAGAGUCAAAACACUACUCCUCUCGGUAACAUAGUCUUUAUUCUAGCUUUUAGAGGUUAGAAGAAGGGUUCAUGAAAAGCAAUCCCUCUAAAAGUUAGGGAAUCCCUCUUAGAUUUUAGAGUUUGAGGGAAUAUUUUGACUAGGAUUAAUAAGAUUUUCUCGCUACGUUCACAUUUACCUGCUAGUAACUAAAUCAGCAAAUAUUGCCGAGCAGGGCCAAUACCUCAAAGUUGAGAACGGGUCAGCGAACUG